GAUGAACGCUAGCUACAGGCUUAACACAUGCAAGUCGAGGGGUAACGAGAGGAAAGCUUGCUUUCCUUGUCGACGACCGGCGCACGGGUGAGUAACGCGUAUCCAACCUGCCCCCAACUAGGGAAUAACCUUGCGAAAGUAAGACUAAUACCCUAUAAUUUCCUCAGAUGACAUCUGACGAGGAAUAAAGUUUUAUCGAUUGUGGAUGGGGAUGCGUCUGAUUAGCUUGUUGGCGGGGUAACGGCCCACCAAGGCAACGAUCAGUAGGGGUUCUGAGAGGAAGGUCCCCCACAUUGGAACUGAGACACGGUCCAAACUCCUACGGGAGGCAGCAGUGAGGAAUAUUGGUCAAUGGGCGGAAGCCUGAACCAGCCAAGUAGCGUGUAGGAUGACGGCCCUAUGGGUUGUAAACUGCUUUUAUACAGGAAUAAAGUUAGCCACGUGUGGUUAUUUGUAGGUACUGUAUGAAUAAGGACCGGCUAAUUCCGUGCCAGCAGCCGCAGUAA
RNAcentral lists this ribosomal RNA (506 nucleotides) under uncultured bacterium. RNAcentral describes it as "partial 16S ribosomal RNA". It matches the Rfam family "Bacterial small subunit ribosomal RNA", at positions 28 to 523 of the family's 1533-position model. The record is from RNAcentral.